GAAUUAUUUUUAAAUCAGUGGUAGCAACUGUAUAAUCUUAUAAUGGUAACCUACCAGUAAAACUCUCUACUCUUUUAAAAGAAACAUAUUACAAGCAAAUUGAAAUAUAUGAUUAAUUAGCAAUUAACUAAAGCUGUUACCCAAAUAAUAUUCUGUAGUGAAGAUAAAAGCAGAUAAAUCUUGAAUUAUAAAUUGUCAUGUUAAAUUCUUUUUCUUCCUUGAGGGUAAAGGGAAAUCAGAUCACAGAAAUAUUUUAAAAUAUCAGAAUCAUUAUAUUGUGGAGGCAAAGAACACAGAUACUUUCCUAACAUUGAUCAGUGCAAAAUCUGGCUUGAAAUACCCUGAACCCUACGGAUGUUCUGGCUCUGCCAUUUUCUAACUGUGUGACCUUAGGUAAGUCACUUCUCUAAACUUCAGUUUCCUUAACUAUAAAAAAUGAUAAUAAUGGCACCUGCAUCUAGAGCUCUAUUAGGGUAAAAUAAGAAAUUCAGUCAAGUGCAUAAUGUAAUGCUAGUAUCUUGGACAUAGUGUGUGUGUAUAUAUAUAUAUAUUCUCAAUAUAUAUAAGAUAAUGCUAGUAUCUUGGACAUAGUAUAUAUAUAUAUAUGUAUAUAUUCAACAAAUUAAACACCAUUAUUAUUUUAUUAAAAGCAUUUUACAAUUCAUGGCACUAGCUAUUCUAAUCAGGACUGUUUAUCAAAAGUGAGAUUCCAGUGAAAUCUGUACCUUCCUCCACAGUGUAAGAGCUAAUGGCCUCUCUCCUCAGAUUCCACACAUAGCACUUCACUCAUGCUUAAAGACUAGUAUCUGACGUUUGCAGUUGGAAACGACUAUGGCUAGCUGGAAAUGUAUGAGCCUGUCUUUAUUACUAGAUAAUAAAUUCUGGAGGAUAGGGACCAUGUAUUUUGAAUAGUAUUUUAAUCACAUCCACAGCUGUGAUUAUACUGCCUGCAUAUGGUUAAAAUGACCAGCAAAGAUAAAAUUUCAGUCGGUAGUCCAUCCCUGCAAUCUUGAGUUACACAACAAAACAAAAGGAAGGGAAUCUCUACCUGAACUGUCUAUAGUCGAGGUGCCCAGCCACCUGAGAUGAAUCCUAAUAGGGAUCUAAUAUGGAGCUGCAGGGGCUUCAGAGUGAGAACCUUCUGGGGUAGAAAGAGGAACUGGGCUUUGCUGUCUCUAGGAAGAAAGGGGUAGCCUGAACUCCUGAUGUUAAUAUGUUUGCUGGCACUCUGUGUCUUCACAGCGGCCAGCCACCAGACUCCACUUUGCCCCAGUCACUGUCUACUCUUUUCAAAGUAUAUUUGUGAUGGGUUUAUGAGACCUGAAGUCCUAUUUCUGCUAAUAAAUCUGCUUCCCUUCUCAAUAUACACACACAUGCAGGUUCACACAAUGACAUGCACAAUCCUCCUUAUUCAAUGUUAGUCCUGACCUGAACUGUAAUUGGGCUUUCUAUAAUACCAUUUGAAUGGUGUAAAACUCCACGGAAGUAAAAUUAGAAGGGCCCAUCAUGCGGUGUGUUUACUGUAAUGCACUUCUAUUCAUUUUAGAAGUGGGUGGUACUUUACAUGGCUUUUUGGUCUUACUGGAGGAAAAUGAUCUUUUGGUAUUACUGGAGGAUAAUGAUCUUACUUCAGAUCUUUUUGCUGAUUUCUCUAUAGUGUUCUGGAGAGAAGUUUUUUUGGCCUUGCCUACAGCAUGUGGAAGUUCUCAGGCCAGGGAAUGAACCUGUGCCACAGCAGUGACCUGAGACCCUAUAAAGGCAAUGCUGGAUCCUUAACCUGCUGCACCACAAGGGAACUCCUGGAGAGACAUUUUAGACAUAAGCUAUUUAAAGAUCUGAUCACAAUUCUGUCAAUUCAAUUCAAUUCACCAAACCUCUUUUGAACUUCUAUUACAAAGAAUUGAAAGCAAUAUUGGAGAUAUACAAACAAGUAAUAGGGCACAGUCCCUAGUCUCUAUAGAGGCCAUAAUGUAACAUCAUUACCACUGUCUAAAGGUGCUUCUUAAUGAUUCUAUCAUAUAUAGUAUACUAGAUGAGGUAUGCACAGGUUAAGCAAACAACAAAGCCUCCUUAAAUCCUCUUUUGAAAAAGAGAAUGCACAUAAAUAGUAACAUGUUCCCAAGCUUACUCUUGACAAGCAACACAAACCCUCCAAAUAUGAAAUACAUUCAGUUAAAAAUUAUAAUGAAGCCUAAUUUACUCACUACUUUCAAAGAAUGAAAAUGUUUUAAUUUCCCUGAUAAUAGAAAUAUUUAUUCCUUUUAAAGCACCAAAACUUUUAAUAUAUUAACCAAUUAGAUGAAUAUCUUUCUAAAAUGUCUGAUCUAUUUCCCCUGCUUUGUAAAAUUAUAUAUCCUGAACUAAAUCUAACAUUUUCUUAGUGAGACUGGAAUAUCAUUAUGAGCAUCAAAUAGUAUGCUGUACUUAAAUAGGGAACUUUUCAAGAACAAUACUGAGGUGUGCAGAGCUAUUUUUCAGUACACUUAACUGGACUCAGACUAUAUUUUUGGUUUAUCUGUUUACUUAUUUUAAGUAUUUUUAAAACUCUUGACUGUCCAGAUCAGUUACUAUUGUUCUGCAAUAAGCUACCCAAAUUUAGUAGCAUAAAAAAUGAUUAUGCUCUCAUAUUCUAUGGAUUAGGAAUUCAGAAAGGGCAGGUGGGGACAGUUCUCUGUUCUACAGUGUCUGACCUCUCAUCUAGGAAGACUCAGAUGACUAGGAGUCACUUUAGUAGCUGGAAUCUAGAAGAGCUGGGACUGGAGUAUCCCGCUUCAUGAUGAUCCACUCUCCUGUGUGGUAUCUAGGCUGGGACAGCUAAAGGCUGAGCUCAGCUGAGACUCUUGACUAGAACCCUAUACAUGGUCUCUUAACAUGGUUUGAGAUUUUCACAGCAUGGUGACUGGGUUCCAAGAGGGAAAGCCCCAAAAGGGGGCUUCCCUAGGAUGAGUUUUCCAAGAGAAACAGACGGAAGCUUCAUGACUUUUUCUCUUGGACUCAGAAAUCAUAUAGUACCGUUCACUUAGCAAUAAAUGAGUCAUAACGUCAGUCCCAAAUUCAAGGAAACAAGAUAUAUACUCUACUUAUUGAUGGGGUAAUGGCAAGGUUAUACUGGAGGAUAGCAUGAGGGAUGAGAGAGAUUUUUGGCACCAUCUUUGAAAAAUACAAUCUGUCAGCAACCAUUUAGUAUCAUUAUUUUCAUGUCUUACCCCUGUAGCCUUCCCACACACUUAAAGUUUCAGUUCUAAAGUCCUAAAGUAGCAAAACAAACUAGCUUUCCAAAAUUGAAUGUAAAAUCAAAUAUGCAAUCAUUUGGGUGAGGCAGUCAUGAGGGUUCUCUUAUGAAUGAGCUUACUGAGUUUUAAUAUACUCACCUGAUGAUAGUCACUCAGGCUGCCCUGAGGCUUUUCCUCACUGCUUUCCAAAUAGUGCAAGAGCCGGAUGUUAUGGACUGAAUUAUGCCCCCACCCCAUCCCCAGUCCUGUGCUGAAGCCCUAACGCCCAGUGUGAUUGUAUUUAGAGAUAGGACCUUUAAGGGGGUAACUAAGAUUAAAUGAGGUCAUAAGGGUGAGGCUUUUAAUCCAUUCAGACAGGUGCCCUUAUAAGAAAACAAAGAGACAAUAGGGGGCACACAUGUAGAGGAAAAGUCAUGAGAGGACGUAGUGAGAAGGUGGCCAUCUCAAAGCCAGGGACUGAGGCCUUAGGAGAAACCAAACCUGCCAACUCUUUGAUCUUGGACUUCUGGCCUUCAAAAUAUGAGGAAAUAAAUUUUUGUUGUUUAAGCCACCCAGUUGUAGUAUUUUACAUGGCAGCUCAAGAUGACUGAAAUACUGGAUGGCUGACUUCUCAGAGGAUGUGACCUUAGUCCUCCUGCUCCAGGGCUUUUCUCCUCUAUGCUCUCUUUGCUCUACGCAUGUAUUCACAUGUUUCUAUGACAUUGUUUAUGCUGUUCCUUCUGUCUAGAACGUUUUUUCCUCCUUGUCUGGGCCUAUUAACUCAUCCCUUAAUGCUUAGCUCAGAUGUCAUCUUCUCUUUGUUUUACUUGACCAUAAUCACUCUAUUCUCCAUGCACAUACCUUGAUUUUAUCAUUUUUAAUAUCAAGUGGUAAUUAGCCAUCUCUGAGCCUCUCUCCCUUGCUAUAGAAUAUGCUGUUUGAGGGAAGGGACUGCAUCCUAGUGCCUCCAGUUUCUGUUUCAGAGUCCUUCAUUUUGUAGGUGCUCAAUACAUGUUUGUUGAUUUAAUACAUUAUAUUAGAACCCAUAAAAUUUAAGACCUGGACGACACUUAUCUCAUGAUCUAAUCCAGACUCUCAUUUUACAAGUGAAGAAAAUGCAGUCUGAAAAGGUUUUUUCAGACAGAUAUUCUAAAGGAAAUUACCAUCACGCUUCUAGUUGUACAAAAAAAAAAAGAAUAUCUGAAAGGUAAUAAUUUGGGGAAAUGAUUGAACAACUGAAGGCAUGAGCUCAUAGAGCUGAGAAGGGGACUGUGUUCCAGACCCUGGGUGGGGCAUCCAGGAAGGUUUGGAGACAGAAGUAGGUGACUGAGCUGAUGUGUGCACAUUAAAAAUACCGUGGUUUGGGGAGUUCCUGCUGUGGUUCAGCAGGUUAAGAGCCCAACUAGAAUCCAUGAGGAUGCGUGUUUGAUCCCUACCCUCGCUCAGAGGAUUAAGGAUCUGGCAUUGCUGCAAGCUACUGCAUAAGUUGCAGAUGUGGCUCAGAUCUGUUGUGGCUGUGGCAUAGGCUGGCAGGCAGUUGCAGCUCUGAUUUGAGCCUGAGAACUUCCAUAUGCUGCAGGUGCAGCCC
Molecule: long non-coding RNA, 4800 nt
Filed under: Sus scrofa (pig)
Lineage: Eukaryota; Metazoa; Chordata; Mammalia; Artiodactyla; Suidae
Description: lncRNA (ENSSSCG00000061088.1)
Source: RNAcentral